UGCUUAAAUCAAAAUUUGAAUUGUUUGCUUCUAGCUGCAAACUUCAAACAAAUGUUGCUUUAGUAUAUGCCUUUUUAUAUUGUUCAAAACAGUUUGAAUAGCGAUUACUAGUAGCACACAUAUAAGGGCGACAACCUUGUCAUAAGAAGAACAAAGCAGGAGAAUGGAAUUGUGGGGGACCUCCAUACAUACAGAGCAGGUUGUAUCUUCC
RNAcentral lists this long non-coding RNA (211 nucleotides) under Phaseolus vulgaris (common bean). RNAcentral describes it as "long non-coding RNA (PVUL_LNC001160)". Lineage: Eukaryota; Viridiplantae; Streptophyta; Magnoliopsida; Fabales; Fabaceae. The record is from RNAcentral.